CAAGUAUCAUGGCAUGUUCUGAUUCGGCUUUGGAAAAAUGUGGGGACAAAUUAUUUUCAAGGGCAUUUCUCGACCAAGGACAGAGCCUCGACGAUGACCAUUUCUUCGACACGAAUCCCCGACUCGAAUCGUCGACACCGGAGCCGUUAAUCAAGUCAAGCUUCUCAUCAGUUCGGAUUUCAUUUUAUUAUAUCCGCGACACAAGUGUUUUUUUUUGCUUUCUUUCACCGACGAAUCGGCGAGAUUCUCUCCAACCAAAAGCUCUCCCCCUUUUUCGUCUCUCACUUCUGCUUUCACUUCCCCAUCGCUCUUCUUCGACCAGUCGUCUCAUUUCUCCCUUUCAGUUCCUUCUUCGACGUUUCUGGUCUUCGGCGUGAGUGGCAGAUGCAAGAUACCUUCUUCGGAUUUUCUGGUCUUGAAAUUGUUGGAUUCCCCAACAAUUUGAGAUUUUGGAUCUUGAAAUUGUUCAAUUUACAGAUGUUUUGAUUACUUGCGUUUUGAUUUUUUCUCUUGUUUCCAUAUUGUAAGAUGAUUGAUGAGGUUGAUUUCUUAUUGUUUGAUAGAUUUUUAUACAUUGAGGAAAGAUGUUGAAGUAGCAUCAGCUCGUGUCAAAGAGAUUAAAGCUUCUUCUGGUUUACAGCAAAUAGAAAAAGAAAUAGCAACGGUUGAGAAAUCUGUUUUGGGCUGAUGCUAAGAGCAGAGAUGAUUAUCUGAGUUUCAAUGAUGUUGUAUUCUUUGAUACUACUUAUGUUAAGUUUAACUAUAAGUUGCCACUAGCUUUAUUUAUAGGUGUGAACCAUCACUCCCAACCUAUGUUGCUUGUGGAAAGAAGCUUUUGGUCUUACUGAUUCCAAGUUGUUAAAUUUUCGUCAAACUUGUUAAGAAGCUAUCGAUAUAUCUUUGUAAUAUGAACAAAAGAAUGAGUUUCUUGAUUGUUGUCUGACCAGGUCAUAGAAUAUUGUUUUUUUGUUGGAUUAUCUUGGAGCUUUGUUCCCAGUGGGUGCAACAGAGUUAGAAUCUUUUGGAUGUCUGUUCACCAACCCAUUUCAUUCACAUUCCACUGUUGAUUCUAUAUUACCUCUCUAUUAUUCUUGUUGUGGAUUGUUGUGUACUUGGGAGUUGAGCUUACUUUGAGUAGAAGCAAUAAAUCCGACAUGAAGCAAAUAUAAAUGAAGAUGAGAGUGGAAACCGCGCUUGUGAUUCUCUUGGGCCUCAUAUCAGUUCAGCAAUGCUAUGGAGGCGCAAGCAACUGGACUUGCACGUGCUUCUCUUCGGGAAAUCAAAGUGAGAUCCUGGAAUCUAACUGUACCACAUCAUGUAAUUGCAGACCAGGGAUGGAGAUGGCCUUAGCUCCUAUUAUAUUUUUUCAUAAGAGAAAGAUUUGGUUCAACCGGUGUCAUCGAAUUUGCCUCCACCGGUAACUGAAGUUGAUAUUAUCUGUGCCCUAACAUCACCAACAAAAUCUAAGUACAUGUAGUUUCAUUGUAGCAAACAAUGCUUUUCAAUUUUGUUUUGUUCAGUGUUAUUCUUGAGUGUUCAACAGACACGAUUUUGUGAGAUCAAAGGGAAGGUUUGACCAAAUUUUGUUAUUUG
Eutrema salsugineum is the source of this 1593-nucleotide long non-coding RNA. RefSeq lists it as uncharacterized. The record is from RefSeq and is a predicted model, not a curated record. The transcript has 5 exons. NCBI's taxonomy places the organism in Eukaryota, Viridiplantae, Streptophyta, Magnoliopsida, Brassicales, Brassicaceae.